CUGCCAGAAUUCUUAUGCUUGUCCCGAAGACUCAAGCCAUGCAUGCCUAGAAGAAAAAUUUACGCCCGACUGGUGCUCUAUAGUGCCGACUGGUGUGUUAAGGAAUCAGCGAACGGCUCCGCAUAUCUGUUGUCACCUAUCGUGGUAAAUACGGCGUGGAUAGAGCACGGAAAAGCUGUGUAUAACACAGACAAGUGGGGUCACCGCUGCCCGUUGGCAUGGGGAGUAGGGGUAAGUGGGCCCAUAACCAUGGGCCUCACCUCAUGAACGGCUCUCAAAGUACUUCCGGGACUAAACACCCCGGGGCGAAACAGAGGCCUCUGCUACCGGACAGAGUCACCGAGUGCCCUGCGGGGUUGGUCUUGUCUGGGUAUCUGGCAGAGCCCAUCCACAAGCGCACGAUGGACUUCAGACCUAUCAGCUAGACGGUAGGGUAUUGGCCUACCGUGGCGAUGACGGGUACAGAGGAUUAGGGUUUGAUCCUGGAGAGGUAGCCUGAGAAAUCGCUCCCACUUCUAAGGAAGGCAGCAGGCGCGUAACGUUCCCAAUGCUAGGACCCCUAGUGAGGACGUAAUGGGACAUAACAAUACCCCUAUUGGAUAGUGGGUAAUUGACAAUGGGGC
This 623-nucleotide ribosomal RNA is filed under the name Lycogala epidendrum. RNAcentral describes it as "partial small subunit ribosomal RNA". It matches the Rfam family "Eukaryotic small subunit ribosomal RNA", at positions 14 to 520 of the family's 1831-position model. The record is from RNAcentral. Lineage: Eukaryota; Evosea; Eumycetozoa; Liceales; Enteridiidae.